UUCUAUGAUGACCCUACGACAUGCAAAAGGCAAUCCCUCAAACUUAAGUUAUCAUGUGGAAACUGUCAAUUUCAUAAGUUUCAGCCUUGUCUGGAU
Molecule: small nucleolar RNA, 96 nt
Rfam family: A. fumigatus snoRNA Afu_455